Molecule: unclassified non-coding RNA, 346 nt
Filed under: soil metagenome
Description: partial contains 5.8S ribosomal RNA, internal transcribed spacer 2, and large subunit ribosomal RNA
Rfam family: 5.8S ribosomal RNA (bases 1-120)
Source: RNAcentral
GAUGAAGAACGCAGCGAAAUGCGAUACGUAAUGUGAAUUGCAGAAUUCAGUGAAUCAUCGAGUCUUUGAACGCACAUUGCGCCCCCUGGUAUUCCGGGGGGCAUGCCUGUCCGAGCGUCAUUGCUGCCCUCAAGCACGGCUUGUGUGUUGGGCCUCCGUCCUCCUCCCGGGGGACGGGCCCGAAAGGCAGCGGCGGCACCGCGUCCGGUCCUCGAGCGUAUGGGGCUUCGUCACCCGCUCUUGUAGGCCCGGCCGGCGCUUGCCGACACAUCAAUCUUUUUUCCAGGUUGACCUCGGAUCAGGUAGGGAUACCCGCUGAACUUAAGCAUAUCAAAUAAGCGGAGGA